UUUAAAAUAAUAAUCAGAAAAUAAAAUAAAAUAGAAAAAACAAGGGUCAUCAAAUCUCUCUUAUUAAUUGAGGUGGAAGAUCUAAAUGCCACAUGCGUGCAAUCUGUGGUGCACCUUGGUUAAUGUCCAGCAAAUGUGGCAAUCAACAUCAAAGGCCAAUAUUAGAAGCCAUGGACCAGAUCAGAUUGUCUCGAUCUCUCAA
This 202-nucleotide long non-coding RNA is filed under the name Lathyrus oleraceus (garden pea). RNAcentral's name for it is "Pisum sativum (pea) long non-coding RNA (PSAT_LNC002323)". Lineage: Eukaryota; Viridiplantae; Streptophyta; Magnoliopsida; Fabales; Fabaceae. The record is from RNAcentral.